GAUGAACGCUGGCGGCGUGCCUAAUACAUGCAAGUCGAGCGAAAAGACGAGGAGCUUGCUCCUCUCACGUUUGCGGCGGACGGGUGAGUCACACGUGUAUAACCUACCUAUAAGUCUGGGAUAACUUCGGGAAACCGGAUCUAAUCCCGUAUAAUCUCUUGAACCAUAGGGUUCAAUAGUGAAUGACGGCUUUUCUGUCACUAAUAGCUGUAUCCGCGCCGCAUUAGCUAGUUGGUAAGGUAACGGCUUACCAAGGCGACGAUGCGUAGCCGACCUGAGAGGGUGGUCGGCCACACUGGAAGUGAGACACGGUCCAGACUCCUACGGGAGGCAGCAGUAGGGAAUCGUCCGCAAUAGGCGAAAGCCUGACGGAGCAACGCCGCGUGAGUGAUGAAGGUCUUCGGAUCGUAAAACUCUGUUAUUAGGGAAGAACAAAUGUGGAAGUAACUAUGCACGUCUUGACGGUACCUAAUCAGAAAGCCACGGCUAACUACGUG
This 497-nucleotide ribosomal RNA is filed under the name uncultured bacterium. Its description in RNAcentral is "partial 16S ribosomal RNA". It matches the Rfam family "Bacterial small subunit ribosomal RNA", at positions 28 to 507 of the family's 1533-position model. The record is from RNAcentral.